UUCGACACACUAUCAUUAACUGAAUCCAUAGGUUAAUGAGGCGAACCGGGGGAACUGAAACAUCUAAGUACCCCGAGGAAAAGAAAUCAACCGAGAUUCCCCCAGUAGCGGCGAGCGAACGGGGAGCAGCCCAGAGCCUGAAUCAGUGUGUGUGUUAGUGGAAGCGUCUGGAAAGGCGCGCGAUACAGGGUGACAGCCCCGUACACAAAAAUGCACAUGCUGUGAGCUCGAUGAGUAGGGCGGGACACGUGGUAUCCUGUCUGAAUAUGGGGGGACCAUCCUCCAAGGCUAAAUACUCCUGACUGACCGAUAGUGAACCAGUACCGUGAGGGAAAGGCGAAAAGAACCCCGGCGAGGGGAGUGAAAAAGAACCUGAAACCGUGUACGUACAAGCAGUGGGAGCACGCUUAGGCGUGUGACUGCGUACCUUUUGUAUAAUGGGUCAGCGACUUAUAUUCUGUAGCAAGGUUAACCGAAUAGGGGAGCCGAAGGGAAACCGAGUCUUAACUGGGCGUUAAGUUGCAGGGUAUAGACCCGAAACCCGGUGAUCUAGCCAUGGGCAGGUUGAAGGUUGGGUAACACUAACUGGAGGACCGAACCGACUAAUGUUGAAAAAUUAGCGGAUGACUUGUGGCUGGGGGUGAAAGGCCAAUCAAACCGGGAGAUAGCUGGUUCUCCCCGAAAGCU
Molecule: ribosomal RNA, 687 nt
Filed under: Escherichia coli
Lineage: Bacteria; Pseudomonadati; Pseudomonadota; Gammaproteobacteria; Enterobacterales; Enterobacteriaceae
Description: partial 23S ribosomal RNA
Rfam family: Bacterial large subunit ribosomal RNA
Source: RNAcentral